Molecule: RNA transcript, 3061 nt
Organism: Malania oleifera
Lineage: Eukaryota; Viridiplantae; Streptophyta; Magnoliopsida; Santalales; Ximeniaceae
Exons: 5
Source: RefSeq, a predicted model, not a curated record
AAAAAAGGAAGGAUUUCUCAAAACAUGUCUAUCCAAUGGUAGACAAGACGAAGAGUUGGAGAGGUAUAAAAGGCGAGGGAGGGUUCAGGUUCCCGGCGCCGGUGGGGGUCAUUGUCCCUUUAGCUGUCUGGCUUGCGCACUAUGAAACGUCGUCGUUCCGGCGCGCCAAUGCUCGGAACUUAGCUGCUGCGUACGAGUACCUCCAUGGAAACGCAUUCAUAUUUCCAUUAGAGGCCUUCAUCUUCACCCUAUUUCUCCUUCUUUGUUUGGACUUAGGCAGACAAUACCUACACAAAUUAGAGAUUGCGAACGCGUCUCCAUCGAUUCUUAAUCUUAAAGUGGCAGACCAUGGCUGGGAAGAAAAUUAUAGCUAUAUGUCAGUCAGGGGGCGAAUUUGAGACAGAUAAAGAUGGUUCACUAUCUUAUAGGGGUGGGGAUGCUCAUGCAAUUGAUAUCGAUGACCAAAUGAACUUUAAUGAGUUCAAGAUGGAGAUAGCAGAAAUGUUUAAUUGUAGCAUUGACACCAUGUCUAUCAAAUACUUCCUCCCUGGAAACAAGAAAACCCUCAUCACAAUUUCAAAUGACAAGGACCUGAAACGCACGAUAAAGUUUCAUGGAGAUUCCACCACUGUCGAUAUCUACAUCAUGAUGGAAGAAAUCGUCACCCCUGACAUUUCAAAUAUGCCUGCCAGUAGGUCAAGUAGAACGACAUUGUCUGAAGCUGUGGUUCUGGUCGAUGCCCCUCUUGGCGUUGGUGAUGAUGUCAUGGAGGGUACAACCCAUCCUGAUAACCCAAUAAUUGCCCCUCUGGAUGUUGUAGAUGAUACUGCUCAUGUGGAUGAUCAUAUCAAUAUACCUGUUGACAUUUCUCCUGUUAUUCCUAUUGACAUUUUGAAUGACGAUAAGCAUGUUAAAGCGGCAGAGCAAUGGCAGAACACUAUUACAGGUGUUGGUCAGAGAUUUAGUGGUGUUCAUGAGUUUCGUGAAGCACUGCGUAAAUAUGCCAUUGCCCACCAGUUUGCCUUUAGGUAUAAAAAGAAUGACAGUCAUCGUGUUACUGUUAAAUGCAAAGCAGAAGGUUGUCCAUGGAGAAUUCAUGCAUCAAGGUUGUCAACAACUCAAUUAAUUUGUAUUAAGAAAAUGAAUGCAACCCAUACAUGUGAAGGGGCUGUUGUAACAACUGGGUAUCAGGCUACAAGGAGUUGGGUUGCAAGCAUUGUUAAGGAGAAGUUGAAGGUUUUCCCAAAUUACAAGCCCAAGGAUAUUGUAAAUGACAUCAAACAGCAGUAUGGUGUUCAACUGAAUUACUUUCAGGCAUGGCGUGGAAAAGAGAUUGCAAAGGAGCAGCUUCAGGGUUCAUACAAAGAGGCAUAUAAUCAGUUGCCCUUUUUUUGCGAGAGGAUAAUUGAGACAAAUCCAGGCAGUUUUGCUACUUUCACCACCAAGGAAGACUCAAGCUUCCAUCGACUCUUUGUUUCAUUUCACGCCUCACUGUAUGGCUUCCAGCAAGGUUGCCGGCCUCUUCUUUUCCUUGAUAGCAUACCCUUGAAGUCAAAAUACCAGGGGACAUUGCUGGCUGCUACAGCUGUAGAUGGGGAUGAUGGUGUUUUUCCAGUUGCUUUCGCUGUAGUAGACGCUGAAACUGAAGAUAACUGGCGUUGGUUUUUACUUCAACUGAAAUCUGCGCUGCCAUCGUGUCGUUCUAUAACUUUUGUAGCUGACAGAGAGAAGGGGUUAAAGGAAUCAAUUGCCAAGAUAUGUGAGAGUCCAUACCAUGGCUAUUGUCUACGCUACCUUACAGAACAGCUUAUUAGGGACUUGAAGGGGCAGUUUUCACAUGAGGUGAAGCGUCUCCUUAUUGAGGAUUUUUAUGAAGCUGCUUAUGCACCUAAGGUUGAAGGCUUCCAAAAGUGUGUCGAGAGCAUCAAAAGUAUUUCACCAGAAGCUUACAAUUGGGUGAUACAAAGCGAGCCUUCACAUUGGGCAAAUGCAUUCUUUCAGGGUGCAAGGUAUAAUCAUAUGACAUCAAACUUUGGGGAACUCUUUUAUGGUUGGGCAUCUGAUGCACAUGAGCUACCAAUAACACAGAUGGUUGAUGUUAUACGGGGUAAAAUUAUGGAGUUGAUUUAUCAACGCGGGACAGAUUCCAAUGAAUGGCUAACAAGGUUAACUCCAUCCAUGGAGGAAAAGCUAGAAAAGGAAGGGUUGAAAGUUCAUUCCCUUCAAGUGUUACUUUCAGCUGGCAGCACAUUUGAGGUUCGUGGUGAUUCUGUUGAAGAAGUUGAUAUUGAUCGCUGGGACUGUACUUGCAAAGCUUGGCAGCAUACUGGUCUGCCUUGUUGUCAUGCAAUUGCUGUCAUUAGUUGCGUUGGCCGAAGCUCAUAUGAUUAUUGUUUGAGAUACUUAACAACUGAGAGCUACAGAUUGACAUAUUCAGAGUCAAUACAUCCUAUUCCAAACGUAGACAGAUCUUUGCCAAAGGAUACUUCUCAAGUUGCAGUGACUGUUACUCCUCCUCCUACUCGCCGUCCACCAGGCCGGCCCACUACUAAGCGAUUUGGAUCACAAGAAGUAGUCAAACGUCAACUUCAGUGCAGUAGGUGCAAAGGUACUGGGCACAACAAGUCAACAUGCAAAGAAUCACUGUAGAAGUUGGACACUAUUUGUCAUUAGAAAAGCAUUGCAACUUUUUACCGACACUAAGUCAAAGAAUUAUUUAUGAUAUGAUUUCAUAAAUCCAUGCAAAGAAGCUGUGGCUCAAGGGUCAGUGACUCAGGGUUAUAUCAAACAGAAGGGGCAUUUGCAAUCUGUACAUCUAUUAACUUUUUCAGGGAUUGGAAGAUUUAGGAUGCAGAGUUAAUCAGCCAUUCUCAUGGUACCUGAUGCAUCCAAUGCAAUGUUCUGUUUUCAAUGCCUUCCUGUUGAGAAUAGUAGGUAUAGGAUUUGUCGAGUGAUCUUUCAAAUGUAGGGGCUGCCUAGCGCUUAAGCCCCCAAAGUUGGGCUGAUCUAAUUGAAAAUCAGAUUCUUGUCCAUUGUCCUAUUUAGAGGGCUUUCACAUCCA